RNAcentral lists this long non-coding RNA (1452 nucleotides) under Vulpes vulpes (red fox). Its description in RNAcentral is "lncRNA (ENSVVUG00000012864.1)". The record is from RNAcentral. Lineage: Eukaryota; Metazoa; Chordata; Mammalia; Carnivora; Canidae.
UGCAUUCUGCUGUUGCCAGGAAAUACUGGAAGUUUUACUCGUUGGGUGGACAACUGGAGUUUUCAAAUUACAUUGAAUGAUUUUCUCUGCCUUUCUUAUGUAAGGGGAAACAUUUUUGCUGUACAAAUGUCAGUUCCAAAUUUCAAAAUCUGAAUCCUACAGGAUGGAGUUCGGCUUGUACUCCACUCUGUGUCCUUCAAGAUGACGGCUCGAGGGAUGGCAAGGACAUGCUGUGGAGGAAGGUGUGGCCAGAAGGUGAACAUGUAAUCCAUAAGGCAGGCUCAAGGACGAUUGCGAGGGGAUUUGAUCUUCAACCACGUAGGGGGUUGAAGAAGUCUGUGGAAGGCUGUUGUCUCUGUGUCUGGCCUGAUGGUCAGCCUGUCGCUCUGCAGAGCUGGGGAAAACAGCUGGGCAUGAGAACCCCCGGCUGUCUCCUACCACUUCCAAAUUGAACAAGCAAGGGUGACCUAUGGAAUGAACCAGACUCUUCGCUCCCGAGCUGCAUAUAGGACUUGCAGAUCUGCUGGAAGCUGAACCAACUGCAAGUGGGGCUGCUGCCCCCAGCCAGCAAGAUGAGCCAGCAGCUCUGCUACAGCAGUGCCUGGCACCCACACCGACCUUCAGGAUGUCCUGGCCACUGAUUUACUCCUGCCUUCUGAAUUCCAGGCAAAUUUCCCUUGAGAGGUCAGCCCUAACCCACACCACACAGAGGAGGACGUUCUGGGAAAUUUAGUUCCAGACUAGCUAAGUUGAUUCAGUUGAUUCAGCAAACCCAUCAUAAUAAUUAAGUUUUAGAUACUCUUGGCAUGAACAUAUAAGCAGAAUGUACCACAUAGUGUUUAUUUAGUAAAUUAUUUUUAUUUUUAAAGAUUUUAUUUACUUGACACACAGAGAGAGAGAGAGAGAGAGAGAAAGAGAGAGUGUGAGAGAGUGACAGAGAGCACAAGCAGGGGAUGCAGGAGAGGGAGAUGGAGAAGGAGGCUCCCCGAAGCAGGGAGCCCAACAUCGGCUCCAUCCCAAGACCCUGGAAUCGUGGCCCGAGCUGAAGGCAGAUGCUUAACUGACUGAGCCACCCAGGCGCCCCUUUUAAUAUUUUUAAACCAUUUUAAAAAUUGAGGUCUAAUUGACAUACAGCAUCAUACUAAUUUCAGGUGUUACAACAUAACGGUUUGAUAUUUGUAUGUAUUAUAAAAUGGUCACCACAGGUCUAGCUAACCUUCAUCACCAUACAUAGUUAUAGGACUUUUUUCUGAUGGUGAGAACUUUUAAGAUCUACUCUCUUGGCAACUUUUAAAUAUGCAAUGCAGUAUUAUUAAUCAUAGUCACUGUGCUGUACAUUACAUCCCUAUGACUUAUUUAUUUUAUAACUGGAGUUUUGUAUCUCUUGAACCCCUUCACCAAAUUUGCCCAUCCUCCAUGCCCCCACCUCUUGCAACCACUAAUCUGUUCUAU